RNAcentral lists this ribosomal RNA (481 nucleotides) under uncultured organism. RNAcentral's name for it is "bacterial SSU rRNA". It matches the Rfam family "Bacterial small subunit ribosomal RNA", at positions 28 to 507 of the family's 1533-position model. The record is from RNAcentral.
GAUGAACGCUGGCGGCGUGCUUAACACAUGCAAGUCGAACGAAGCACUUUGAUCGAUUUCUUCGGAUUGAAAUUUUAGUGACUGAGUGGCGGACGGGUGAGUAACGCGUGGGUAACCUGCCUCACACAGGGGGAUAACAGUUGGAAACGGCUGCUAAUACCGCAUAAGCGCACAGUACCGCAUGGUACAGUGUGAAAAACUCCGGUGGUGUGAGAUGGACCCGCGUCUGAUUAGCUAGUUGGCAGGGCAACGGCCUACCAAGGCGACGAUCAGUAGCCGACCUGAGAGGGUGACCGGCCACAUUGGGACUGAGACACGGCCCAAACUCCUACGGGAGGCAGCAGUGGGGAAUAUUGCACAAUGGGGGAAACCCUGAUGCAGCGACGCCGCGUGAGCGAAGAAGUAUUUCGGUAUGUAAAGCUCUAUCAGCAGGGAAGAAGAAAUGACGGUACCUGACUAAGAAGCACCGGCUAAAUACGUG